UGGGGAAUAUUGGACAAUGGGCGCAAGCCUGAUCCAGCCAUGCCGCGUGAGUGAUGAAGGCCCUAGGGUUGUAAAGCUCUUUCACCGGUGAAGAUAAUGACGGUACCGAAAAAGCAAGCCACGGCUAACUACGUGCCAGCAGCCGCGGUAAUACGUAGGUGGCAAGCGUUGUCCGGAAUUAUUGGGCGUAAAGCGCGCGCAGGCGGUCACUUAAGUCCAUCUUAGAAGUGCGGGGCUUAACCCCGUGAUGGGAUGGAAACUGGGAGACUGGAGUAUCGGAGAGGAAAGUGGAAUUCCUAGUGUAGCGGUGAAAUGCGUAGAUAUUAGGAAGAACACCGGUGGCGAAGGCGACUUUCUGGACGAAAACUGACGCUGAGGCGCGAAAGCGUGGGGAGCAAACAGG
RNAcentral lists this ribosomal RNA (403 nucleotides) under Verrucomicrobiota bacterium. RNAcentral describes it as "Verrucomicrobia bacterium partial 16S ribosomal RNA". It matches the Rfam family "Bacterial small subunit ribosomal RNA", at positions 355 to 776 of the family's 1533-position model. Lineage: Bacteria; Pseudomonadati; Verrucomicrobiota. The record is from RNAcentral.